GACGAACGCUGGCGGCGUGCUUAACACAUGCAAGUCGAACGGUGAAGCGCCUUCCUUUUUGGUGGGUGUGGACGAGUGGCGAACGGGUGAGUAACACGUGAGUAACCUGCCCCCUUCUUCUGGAUAACCGCAUGAAAGUGUGGCUAAUACGGGAUAUUCUGGGUCUGUCGCAUGAUGGGUCUGGGAAAGAUAUUGUUUCGGUGGGGGAUGGGCUCGCGGCCUAUCAGCUUGUUGGUGGGGUGAUGGCCUACCAAGGCGGUGACGGGUAGCCGGCCUGAGAGGGUGGACGGUCACACUGGGACUGAGACACGGCCCAGACUCCUACGGGAGGCAGCAGUGGGGAAUAUUGCACAAUGGGCGCAAGCCUGAUGCAGCGACGCCGCGUGAGGGAUGGAGGCCUUCGGGUUGCGAACCUCUUUCGCCAGUGAAGCAGGCCUGCCUCGUUUGUGGGUGGGUUGACGGUAGCUGGAUAAGAAGCGCCGGCUAACUACGUG
This 494-nucleotide ribosomal RNA is filed under the name uncultured bacterium. RNAcentral's name for it is "partial 16S ribosomal RNA". It matches the Rfam family "Bacterial small subunit ribosomal RNA", at positions 28 to 507 of the family's 1533-position model. The record is from RNAcentral.